CGUAUCAAACGGGUUUCGUUCGGUACGUUUACAUCGAUACCACAUUUACAUAGGCUGCGGUAUACUUUCCUUAUUCCGCGCAGUUUCGAACAAACUGUUUGUGUGUUGUGGGUCUGAUCUUGUGUUAAGCUUCAAUAAAUCUGUUAAUCGGAAUAAGAUUACCUCUGCGGAACAUUUAUUUGGUAAUUGGCGGGCCCUAGCCUCCUGACACUAUGACGUCGAAAUCAUCCAUAUUUUAUUUCGAAACAUGUUGUUUUUGUAUAUCGCUGAGAAGAGGGUGUUUUAUUAUGGCAUACAUGCAAUUGGUUGGGAUAAUUUUAGGUACAAUAGCCGCAGGGAUUGUUAUUGGCUUCGAAGUCGAUAAGGCUAAUGAAAAAUAUCAACAUAUAAGUUCUUUAUGGAUUGCAAUAUUUUUUUUACUUUUUUUAACAAUAACUUUGGCCCUUAUAUUCAAUAUUAUUCUUCUUAUUGGAUUACAUAAGAAUAAGCCUGGUCAUGUAAAAGCUUAUCUUAUUUUUAACAUAAUAUUGAGUGUUAUUUUCGUGGUAGUUGUAAUGUUAUCAUUUAUAACGGGAUAUACCAAUAUCUCAGAAAUUUUAAGAAAAAUUAUACAAUUAUUGAUAUCCAUCUAUUACUUACUCGUCUACAGAAGUUAUUACAUUAAAAUGAAGGAAACCCCCGAACAAACCGCUUAAGAGAUGAAAUAUUUCCUUCAUAUAAAAUCCUACAGUAUAUUCCAAAGGCAGAAAGAGGAAGACAAAACAAACCCAGAUUCAUAUAUUCCACAACAAGAUUAACAGAUCAUUAUACGACGAACCAAACUUCGAUAGUGGAGAGGCACAAGAAGAAGACAUCUAUAUUAAUAUUAUAAAUGCGAAAGUACUUUGUCUGUCUGUUAUGCUUUUAAGGCACUACUGGUUAAAUUUGGCAUGAAGUAAACUUGAACUUCAGGGACGGACAUAGGUUACUUUUUUACAUAAUAACCGCCCCACAUCACGCGGGGCGAUUACUAGUUAUGUAUAUAAUAUAAGAAGGUCGAGAUUAAAAUAUAUUAAUUUAUUAUAAGCAUUUUUCCACCAUGUAAUGUAUUCGUAAGUAUGUAUCCUUUGUUGGAGCUCCUUAAUAAGUAAAUAAAUAAAUAAUACAACACUUUUGCACUACCAUAUGUCUUGGUGUUCAAAUCGGACUGGAGGAAAUCAUUCUUUCGUCAUUGUGAAGUAUAUAACCAUUAAAUAUACCAAUAAUGAGUCUUAACCGAUGAUCAUGGGUUCAAACCCGGGCAAGCACCAAUGAAUUUCCAUGUGCUUAAGAUGUGUUUGUAAUUCAUCUCGUGCUUGACGGUGAAACAAAGAAUCGUGAUGAAACCUGCAUAUGUCUAAUAUCAAUGAAAAUCUGCCACAUAUGCAUUCCACCAACCCGCAUUGGAGCAGCGUGGUGGAAAAUAGCAAAAACAGAUUACAAGUCUUCAAUCGGUAAUAAUAUAUAUAUUUAGCUGGCAUGUGAUGCCUGGCUUAUGUGAAACAUCGAACUUAAUUUAAAAAUGCAG
Molecule: long non-coding RNA, 1546 nt
Organism: Nymphalis io (European peacock)
Lineage: Eukaryota; Metazoa; Arthropoda; Insecta; Lepidoptera; Nymphalidae
Exons: 6
Source: RefSeq, a predicted model, not a curated record